GAUGAAGAACGCAGCGAAAUGCGAUAAGUAAUGUGAAUUGCAGAAUUCAGUGAAUCAUCGAAUCUUUGAACGCACAUUGCGCCCCUUGGUAUCCCGAGGGGCAUGCCUGUUCGAGCGUCAUUUCACCACUCAAGCCUGGCUUGGUGUUGGGCGACGUCCCCUUUGGGGACGCGCCUCGAAACGCUCGGCGGCGUGGCACCGGCUUUAAGCGUAGCAGAAUCUUUCGCUUUGGAAGUCGGGGCCCCGUCUGCCGGAAGACCUACUCGCAAGGUUGACCUCGGAUCAGGCAGGGAUACCCGCUGAACUUAAGCAUAACAAUAAGCGGAGGA
RNAcentral lists this unclassified non-coding RNA (329 nucleotides) under soil metagenome. RNAcentral describes it as "partial contains 5.8S ribosomal RNA, internal transcribed spacer 2, and large subunit ribosomal RNA". The stretch from base 1 to 120 matches the Rfam family "5.8S ribosomal RNA", at positions 35 to 154 of the family's 154-position model. The record is from RNAcentral.